RNAcentral lists this ribosomal RNA (549 nucleotides) under Kluyveromyces lactis. RNAcentral describes it as "partial 26S ribosomal RNA". It matches the Rfam family "Eukaryotic large subunit ribosomal RNA", at positions 62 to 652 of the family's 3401-position model. The record is from RNAcentral. Lineage: Eukaryota; Fungi; Ascomycota; Saccharomycetes; Saccharomycetales; Saccharomycetaceae.
AAACCAACCGGGAUUGCCUUAGUAACGGCGAGUGAAGCGGCAAAAGCUCAAAUUUGAAAUCUGGCGUCUUCGACGUCCGAGUUGUAAUUUGAAGAAGGCAACUUUGUAGCUGGUCCUUGUCUAUGUUCCUUGGAACAGGACGUCAUAGAGGGUGAGAAUCCCGUGUGGCGAGGAUCCCAGUUAUUUGUAAAGUGCUUUCGACGAGUCGAGUUGUUUGGGAAUGCAGCUCUAAGUGGGUGGUAAAUUCCAUCUAAAGCUAAAUAUUGGCGAGAGACCGAUAGCGAACAAGUACAGUGAUGGAAAGAUGAAAAGAACUUUGAAAAGAGAGUGAAAAAGUACGUGAAAUUGUUGAAAGGGAAGGGCAUUUGAUCAGACAUGGCGUUUGCUUCGGCUUUCGCUGGGCCAGCAUCAGUUUUAGCGGUUGGAUAAAUCCUCGGGAAUGUGGCUCUGCUUCGGUAGAGUGUUAUAGCCCGUGGGAAUACAGCCAGCUGGGACUGAGGAUUGCGACUUUUGUCAAGGAUGCUGGCGUAAUGGUUAAAUGCCGCCCNU